GAAGACGGCCCGUCAACGUGGUUCCUCUAUACAGCACAUCCUGCAGCCCAUGGACUUCAGCCUCCAGCUGGCCAAAUGCAUGGUGGAGAAGGACACCAGGAUGCCCAGAUUCAAGGUGUCUGGAGAACUGCCUCUCCUCCAUGUGAAGAUCUCAGACCAGAAGAUCCAGGGAGUGUUGGACCUGGUCAACAGCAUCCCCCUGCCCCAGAGGGAUUCCACCCCUUCCACCCCUACCCAGAAGAUGCUGUGUUUGUCUGAGGCCAGGCCCGAUUAUAUUGG
Long non-coding RNA from Oncorhynchus gorbuscha (pink salmon), 279 nucleotides. RefSeq lists it as uncharacterized. The record is from RefSeq and is a predicted model, not a curated record. The transcript is spliced from 3 exons. NCBI's taxonomy places the organism in Eukaryota, Metazoa, Chordata, Actinopteri, Salmoniformes, Salmonidae.